This 468-nucleotide ribosomal RNA is filed under the name uncultured bacterium. Its description in RNAcentral is "partial 16S ribosomal RNA". It matches the Rfam family "Bacterial small subunit ribosomal RNA", at positions 28 to 507 of the family's 1533-position model. The record is from RNAcentral.
GACGAACGCUGGCGGCGUGCUUAACACAUGCCAGUCGAACGGAAAGGCCCUGCUUUUGUGGGGUGCUCGAGUGGCGAACGGGUGAGUAACACGUGAGUAACCUGCCCUUGACUUUGGGAUAACUUCAGGAAACUGGGGCUAAUACCGGAUAGGAGCUCCUGCUGCAUGGUGGGGGUUGGAAAGUUUCGGCGGUUGGGGAUGGAUUGGCGGCUUAUGGGCUAGUUGGUGGGGUAGUGGCUUACCAAGGCUUUGACGGAUCGCCGGCCUGGGAGGGUGGCCGGCCACAUUGGGACUGAGAGACGGCGCAGACGCCUACGGGAGGCAGCAGUGGGGAGUAUUGCACAAUGGGCGGAAGCCUGAUGCAGCAACGCCGCGUGCGGGAUGACGGCCUUCGGGUUGUAAACCGCUUUCGCCUGUGACGAAGCGUGAGUGACGGUAAUGGGUAAAGAAGCACCGGCUAACUACGUG